Long non-coding RNA from Drosophila virilis, 697 nucleotides. RefSeq lists it as uncharacterized. Lineage: Eukaryota; Metazoa; Arthropoda; Insecta; Diptera; Drosophilidae. The record is from RefSeq and is a predicted model, not a curated record.
UGCCGUGACAGUUGUUGAUUGCGAUUUCCACGGGCGGCUGUGUCGAUUUUGUGUCUCUCAAAUUAGUUUGGGAAAUAUUAGGCAGAAAUAGUAAAAUGUGAACAAAAAUAACAACGUAUUUACGUGAAAUGUUACAAAAAUUGCAAUCUUUUGCAACUACCAAUAAUAAAUAAUUAAUAAUUAAAAUAAUUAACUUAGAAAUAUUGUUUUAUCCCAUUGAAAAUGGGUAAAGAGCGUAUACUGUCUUUGUGAAAUGUAUGUAACAGGCAGAAGGUAGUAUCUCUGAGCCCAUAAAUAUCAUUUAUUCUUCAAUAUUCGGGUCGAUCCCCCAUGGUAAUGGAGCUUACAAAAGCUAAAGGAUAUUUGCUUGAAUACCUGCCCCGUUAUACCGAAAAUUCAAAGCUCCAAGCAAAGCUCAGCUAUUAGAUACCCUGUACAAAUUGGACGGCUUAUCUUUGCAACGUACACUUACCAAUAUAAUGACCAAAGUCGACAUAGAGAACUGCGACUAGGGAUCUACUGGAGAACUGAAACUGAAAAUGGAAAUGGAAACCAAUCGGUCAUUGUCAAGGCGAGUUGCACGCACGCACAUUUCAUCAAUUAAUUAUACAAGUUUAGGAUGAAAAAUAAAAGAAUAUACUCACAUAAGCCCAACCAGCCAAUGAGCUUGCACAAAAUAUGAGAAUAUGGCAAAAUA